GUGAUUUACAAUUAUAUUUUGUUUCUAUUUUAAACAAUCUUGCAUGAAAAGUAAAAGGUAUAUAUGAUUUUAAUUAUUAUAUACUAUUCUCUUCCCAAACUUCUUACAUUUGUGAUAUAAAGAAUUCCUCUAAUUAUUUUUGCUUGACAUAGAUAGUCCUUUAGAUUAGAGUAGCUUUUUCUUACUUUAUGUCUUUCUAUGAUUCCUUAAGAGGAAGUGAUACCUGCAGAGCACUUUUAAAGAUAUUUUUUAGGCUAAUGGUCAAGAUAACACAUUGAAAAGAAAGCUAUAAUUAUGUCCAAUGAGGGCUCUUUUGGUUGCUAGAGAUGAGGAAAGUGUAUACUGAUUUUAAUUUGUACUUAAAAUACAUUUUACUAAUUAACUAUUGAUUUUUAAAUAUGACGGAUUCUUCUUGUAGAUAUUAAUCUUCCUUACUGUAUUUUCCUAGAGAAACCUAAAUGAGGAUGUGUUCCAGCUAGUCUCUGUAUAUUGGCAUAUGUGCUCUAUGUAUAUUGACAUAAUUGAAACUGCAUUAAGUACACCACAUUAGAAACUUUUUGAACAUUUUUAGGUUUAUUGUAUUAAAUUUUAUGAUAACAUACAAGGUUUUGACUCAAGCUUUGUAUGCAAGAAGAGGUGGACAUUUUUUCUCUCUUUGUCAUUUUAUUAACUUAUAUUUCUCUGUAUCCUAGGAAAAUUUUACAUUCAAGAAAUGUUCCAAAAAGUGAUGAUCUUAGGGCACUUGGGUGCUUUUGUAUUUGAUCAUUGCUGAUAUGUUCGUUACAUAGGGAAAUAAUGCUUCUGGACCUUCCUGACAAGACCACUUUGUGGGUGACUGGGGGAUACUUAUGUCGGUGCUCAUGUUGGACGUCAUGGCAGAUGAUGUAGGGACUUCUCCAUUGGUAAAAUAGUUCAGUCAGCUUUUUUGCAGAUGUGUGACUUCAUUAUACUUGUAACAUCAUUCUUGUGUCCAUAACUGACUGAAAUGUCAAGCUCCGGAAAUGUAAGGCACUGGGUCAGGUGACCAAUUGUAGGAAUUUGUUUAUAAUGAAAUAAAGAAAUAAUGUUAAGGUAUGUUUGAGGGGAAAUAACAAAUACGAUUUUACUGGUGAAUUUCCAUGUUUAAUAUGUAUAUUAACUUUUUUUUUUUAAGUUGCAUGUAAACCUGGUAUAAAGUAUUGUCUCUGCUUUAUGCUUUGAGUAAAAAGAAAAAAAAGAUGAGUUAAACUGUUACCCUAUUAUGUACUAUUACAAAUACCUUUUCUUUUAGAAAAGGUUAAUUAUAAAUUACUAUUCACAUGUU
This 1303-nucleotide long non-coding RNA is filed under the name Bos taurus (domestic cattle). Its description in RNAcentral is "long non-coding RNA NONBTAT011068". Lineage: Eukaryota; Metazoa; Chordata; Mammalia; Artiodactyla; Bovidae. The record is from RNAcentral.